RNAcentral lists this ribosomal RNA (274 nucleotides) under uncultured bacterium. RNAcentral's name for it is "partial 16S ribosomal RNA". It matches the Rfam family "Bacterial small subunit ribosomal RNA", at positions 523 to 796 of the family's 1533-position model. The record is from RNAcentral.
AUACAGAGGGUGCGAGCGUUAAUCGGAAUUACUGGGCGUAAAGCGCGCGUAGGCGGCUACUUAAGUCAGAUGUGAAAUCCCCGGGCUCAACCUGGGAACUGCAUCUGAUACUGGGUAGCUAGAGUUUGGGAGAGGGAAGUAGAAUUUCAGGUGCAGCGGUGAAAUGCAUAGAGAUCUGAAGGAAUACCAGUGGCGAAGGCGACUUCCUGGCCAAAAACUGACGCUGAGGUGCGAAAGCGUGGGUAGCAAACGGGAUUAGAAACCCUAGUAGUCC